Non-coding RNA from Macaca mulatta (Rhesus monkey), 456 nucleotides. The record is from RefSeq and is a predicted model, not a curated record. Lineage: Eukaryota; Metazoa; Chordata; Mammalia; Primates; Cercopithecidae.
CAGGAGAGAGAAAGAGAGAGCAAAGGGCUGUACAGUAAGCAUGGCUGGGAGGCCUCAGGAAACUUACAAUCAUGGCGAAAGUCAAAGGCGAAGCAGAUUAACUUGGAGAACACCUAUACAUUUGGAAGAUGAAUCUUCUCAUGCAAGAUAUGAGGUAUUUCCAUUUAUUCAUGCUAUCUAUGAUAGCCUUCAGUUAUAUUUUACAGUUUUCUUCACAUUUCUUUCUGGCGUAUUGUGUUUUAGUUGCUACCACACACGGAUCAUUUUUUCCAUGACUUUGUUCUAUUGGUUCCUAUUUACAUGUAAUAACAAGCUAAUUUUUGUAGGUUGAUCUCAGAUCUGGCCCCCUUGCUGAUAUUUCUCAUUUGUUCUAGAAGUUUGUCAGUUGACUCUUGUAGAGUUUCCAGGUAGAAGACUGUCAGUACAACACUGCCAGUGCCAUACCCAUGACCGAUA